Molecule: transfer RNA, 76 nt
Filed under: Pseudomonadota bacterium
Lineage: Bacteria; Pseudomonadati; Pseudomonadota
Also listed under: 1 other name
Description: tRNA-Met
Rfam family: tRNA
About the family: Transfer RNA (tRNA) molecules are approximately 80 nucleotides in length. Their secondary structure includes four short double-helical elements and three loops (D, anti-codon, and T loops).
Source: RNAcentral
GGCGGGAUAGCUCAGUUGGUAGAGCAGAGGACUCAUAAGCCUUUGGUCGUGGGUUCGAAUCCCUCUCCCGCCACCA